RNAcentral lists this long non-coding RNA (619 nucleotides) under Brassica napus (rape). Its description in RNAcentral is "long non-coding RNA (BNAP_LNC002274)". The record is from RNAcentral. Lineage: Eukaryota; Viridiplantae; Streptophyta; Magnoliopsida; Brassicales; Brassicaceae.
UCGUUGUUUUGGAACAGGUGAUUGCUGGAUUCAUAUCUUCCUUGGUCAUGCUUCUGGCUGCACCAACGUAUGGCCUCGCCGGGAUUUGGACGGGUUUGUUCAUCUUCAUGGCGUUGCGGUUAGUUGCCGGAGCCUGGAGGUAACGAAACAAACAGACCACUCUAGUUUUCAAUUACUUUAAAACAACUUAUCUGUAAGGAUUGUUGCUGUCAUGUUUUUUUUUUCAGAUUGGGGACAAGAACCGGUCCAUGGAAAAUGUUGUGGUUAGCUCCAGAUAAGCCAUAAUAAGUCCGCUUGUAAUAUUUUUUUUGCGGUAUGAAAUGUGAGUCUUUAAGAAAAUGAAAAUAAAGUGAACUAACAAUGUAAAAGCUAUAGUUCUACAGUUUAGUUGAUGCUAGAACCUGAAACACUCUAGAUACGGAUUGAACCCUACGAACUUUCUCCAACUCUUCCUUCUCCUUCGUACAUUUACUUAACGUCGGUUCCAUUGGGCCAGCUGCUCUUCUUCGCUUACGAGAGGAUUCUACAGAAGCAGAGGAGCUCUGUUUUAAACCGUUAUCCUCUUUUUCUAUCGCUUUACACAGAAACAGAUUUGCCCUUUGUAUUUUAUUUAGCCUGG